UUAUGUCUGAAGUUCAGUAAGUUUUGCUUAUGGUUGCUGUAUAAACAUAUUUAUACAGCAACCAUAAGCAAAACUUACUGAACUUCAGACAUAA
RNAcentral lists this microRNA precursor (94 nucleotides) under Paramuricea clavata. The record is from RNAcentral. Lineage: Eukaryota; Metazoa; Cnidaria; Anthozoa; Malacalcyonacea; Plexauridae.